GCGAACCCCGGAAGCGCGGCAGACGCGAGAGAGAUAACCGAACGCGUGCUACAGGAGCCAAAUACCGUUGCCCUUUGAGUGCCCAAGCGAGCUGUACAGUGACGAUCGCACGGAAUUGGCCAGGUUUAGAUGGUGAGCUAUAAACCCAGGUUCUGAUCCGCAACCCUGACACUCAACUCACUCCUGCCAGGAACCCCGACACCUCCACUCCUCUGUCCGGGCUGGUAGGAGGCUCUUGUAGCCAGCGUUAAAAACUCACACCUUCCACGCAAUGGCUCUACGACCAACCCCAAUAAUCACCAUUCACCGCCACUCCUCACGAACACUUAUCCCCCUGAACUCCCGCUCUGGUCGUACGUUCCAUAUCUCCAACUGUGCGUGGCAAACUGUGACUUUUUGGACCUAUGCAAUUGGAUCAAUCUGUUUUUUGGACUCUCAACACUGAUUGUUCUUUGUAAUAACUACCUCACUAUAUUAUUGUGAAGUUUGGGUUUUACUGAAUGGCCAUUCCAGCAAUCAUUAAUAUAUUGUCUUUUGUCAUUGUUUUGUCUUAAUACAUGGUACCGCAAAUCUAAUUCAGUCUCUGUCUCCUCUCUCCCUGAGCCGCACCUUAUCUUCUGGUCACUAGCCCAUAAUUAUUACACUGCGU
Molecule: long non-coding RNA, 649 nt
Organism: Boleophthalmus pectinirostris (great blue-spotted mudskipper)
Lineage: Eukaryota; Metazoa; Chordata; Actinopteri; Gobiiformes; Gobiidae
Exons: 3
Source: RefSeq, a predicted model, not a curated record